Molecule: non-coding RNA, 94 nt
Organism: Termitomyces sp. T32_za158
Lineage: Eukaryota; Fungi; Basidiomycota; Agaricomycetes; Agaricales; Lyophyllaceae
Source: the annotation of a GenBank genome assembly
UCCCUCUUAGCUCAGUGGUAGAGCGCGUCACUUGUAACUUGUCGCUGACAUGGAAUAAAUGACGAGGUCAGUCGUUCAAUCCGGCUAGCGGGAA